This 255-nucleotide ribosomal RNA is filed under the name Salmonella enterica subsp. enterica. Its description in RNAcentral is "partial 16S ribosomal RNA". It matches the Rfam family "Bacterial small subunit ribosomal RNA", at positions 1003 to 1258 of the family's 1533-position model. Lineage: Bacteria; Pseudomonadati; Pseudomonadota; Gammaproteobacteria; Enterobacterales; Enterobacteriaceae. The record is from RNAcentral.
GAGAUGGAUUGGUGCCUUCGGGAACCGUGAGACAGGUGCUGCAUGGCUGUCGUCAGCUCGUGUUGUGAAAUGUUGGGUUAAGUCCCGCAACGAGCGCAACCCUUAUCCUUUGUUGCCAGCGGUCCGGCCGGGAACUCAAAGGAGACUGCCAGUGAUAAACUGGAGGAAGGUGGGGAUGACGUCAAGUCAUCAUGGCCCUUACGACCAGGGCUACACACGUGCUACAAUGGCGCAUACAAAGAGAAGCGACCUCGC